UACAGAGGGGGCAAGCGUUGUUCGGAAUUACUGGGCGUAAAGGGCGCGUAGGCGGCCUGCUAAGUCGAACGUGAAAUCCCCGGGCUCAACCCGGGAACUGCCUUUGAUACUGGUAGGCUCGAAUCCGAGAGAGGGAGGCGGAAUUCCAGGUGUAGAGGUGAAAUUCGUAGAUAUCGGAAGGAACACCGGUGGCGAAGGCGGCCACCUGGCUGGCAACUGACGCUGAGGCGCGAAAGCGUGGGGAGCAAACAGG
RNAcentral lists this ribosomal RNA (253 nucleotides) under uncultured bacterium. Its description in RNAcentral is "partial 16S ribosomal RNA". It matches the Rfam family "Bacterial small subunit ribosomal RNA", at positions 524 to 776 of the family's 1533-position model. The record is from RNAcentral.